RNAcentral lists this long non-coding RNA (228 nucleotides) under Elaeis guineensis (African oil palm). Its description in RNAcentral is "long non-coding RNA (EGUI_LNC057138)". The record is from RNAcentral. Lineage: Eukaryota; Viridiplantae; Streptophyta; Magnoliopsida; Arecales; Arecaceae.
AUCUAGUCCUAAGGUCGAUUUGAACUUAAUAGCCUAAAAAUUAGAUAAAGUCGAUCUUCUUAUAGAUAAAUAUCUAGCUCUAGAUCUACAAUCUCCUGUGCAAUACACACCAUCUCCCAAUUAUCAAGAGAUUUGUUCUAUCUGUGCUAGCCCAGCCCAUCAUGUGAGUGAAUGUCCUACGGUUGCACAGUUUUCACCUUUCAUUCAAGAACAAGUUCAAGCUGCCUA